UAAAGUAAAUAAGCACCAAAA
RNAcentral lists this microRNA (21 nucleotides) under Pongo pygmaeus (Bornean orangutan). Its description in RNAcentral is "ppy-miR-559". Its record names the gene ppy-miR-559. Lineage: Eukaryota; Metazoa; Chordata; Mammalia; Primates; Hominidae. The record is from miRBase by way of RNAcentral.